Frankliniella occidentalis (western flower thrips) is the source of this 754-nucleotide long non-coding RNA. RefSeq lists it as uncharacterized. The record is from RefSeq and is a predicted model, not a curated record. NCBI's taxonomy places the organism in Eukaryota, Metazoa, Arthropoda, Insecta, Thysanoptera, Thripidae. The transcript is spliced from 3 exons.
CCACUUCCACGGUCCCUGAAUAUUUGUGUGAGUUAUGUUGUAAACAAAUGACACGUCGAGAAACUUCGCGCACGUAUUCUUAACACACUCGCAUAAGUGAAGCAAAUGUGUUUCUUUGUGGUCGAAAUAUUUAACAUUGUACAAACAUAACGUUCAUAACACCCCACACUAAACAAUAUUUUGAACCAGCUUUUUUUACAAGAAGUGUUAAAUGACAUGUUCACAGGAUACCUUUACGAGAUUUUGGGGCUACUAUUUUCUCCUUCCCAGCCAGAGUGUUUUGAUUCUCUCUCAUGUUACAUAAUGUGCUUUACAGCUGUGCAAGCUUCCCCGCCAGCUGUCUGCUCUGCCUUCAUAGUUAGCAGCAUGGAACCUGCAACACCAGGAACAUCAAAGUUCUCCUACUUCUGUUACCGUAGUGGGCACAUCUGAAACUCAAGUGUCUGAGGUGUUUGAGGUGACUUUAUUUGAAGAUGAUGUUUACGAAGCUUUAGUUGACAAUAGUGUGACUCUAUUUGAAGAUGAUGGUUGUGAAGUCAACAUUGACAAUGAUGUGAAUGCGGCCUGAACCAACUUGCCUCACCUGGAUUUUGGUUUGAGCAUUUGUGGGUCAUCUUCAGGCCUUAAUUCCUGUUUGCAGGUUUGAUGCACACCCCACCUUUUAUAAGAAAUCUUUUGAAAGAGUCAAAGGAGCAUGAAUCCAAAUGUUCGAUACUAAAUUGCUUGUUACGCAAUUUUUUUUUUUGAUGAAAUA